UCACCAUUCACUGAAACACCGGUUUGAUAAAGUUGUUAUGGCUAACACGGCUAACAGUCGCCCGCACACCCAACAGAUAAAGAACAACAUUAUUGCCCCCCUAAAGUUGUGUUUUAGUCCACCUGACAAAUGUGGUGCAGACUGACAGGUUUGGAACAGCUGUGAGGAAUCUGCUAAACAUGACUGACUGCAGACAUUUUUUAUUUAGUCCAACACGCAUCCUGCGUUCAUUCUUCUUCUCCCCUGUUGUUUAAUUCUGGUGGCACGAAGAUAAAAGCGAUCCGUGUCAUCGUUCCAAACGCAUGACCAGGAUCAAGAAUGUGAGCCACAAGCUGGCAUGUGCACACCCACGCAGUCACGCCCACACGCACAAAACGCAUAAGAGGCAGCGAAGGAGAGACGAAGGUGGAGAAUCUGAGCCCUGAGAGGUGCAGAAAAGAGGAAAUAAGAACAGGAGAGAGAGAAUGGCACGCACAGCUUGGCAUUUAAACAGAGGAUUUCCUCUGUACCUCGUCUUCCCUCCGCUCUUUCUGUUUACAUAAGGAGAGACUACUUCACAUAGCUCAUAUGAGAGUCCAGGAGUGUGUUUGUCUAUAUGUGUGUGUGUUCUCUCCACUAACAUAGGAAUG
Long non-coding RNA from Etheostoma spectabile (orangethroat darter), 629 nucleotides. RefSeq lists it as uncharacterized. The transcript is spliced from 3 exons. The record is from RefSeq and is a predicted model, not a curated record. Lineage: Eukaryota; Metazoa; Chordata; Actinopteri; Perciformes; Percidae.